GAUGAACGCUGGCGGUAUGCUUAACACAUGCAAGUCGAACGGUCUCUUCGGAGAUAGUGGCGGACGGGUGAGUAACGCGUGAGAACAUGCCUUUAGAUUGGGGACAACAGUUGGAAACGACUGCUAAUACCGAAUGUGCCUUAGGGUGAAAGAUUUAUUGUCUAGAGAUUGGCUCGCGUCAGAUUAGCUAGUUGGAGUGGUAACGGCACACCAAGGCGACGAUCUGUACUUGGUCUGAGAGGAUGACCAGGCACACUGGAACUGAGACACGGUCCAGACUCCUACGGGAGGCAGCAGUGGGGAAUUUUCCGCAAUGGGCGAAAGCCUGACGGAGCAAUACCGCGUGAGGGAGGACGGCUUUUGGGUUGUAAACCUCUUUUAUCAGGGAAGAAUCGAUGACGGUACCUGAUGAAUCAGCAUCGGCUAACUCCGUGCCAGCAGCCGCGGUAAUACGGAGGAUGCAAGCGUUAUCCGGAAUUAUUGGGCGUAAAGCGUCCGUAGGUGGUUUAUCAAGUCUGCUGUCAAAGCGUGCGGCUUAACCGCAUAAGGGCAGUGGAAACUGAUGAACUAGAGUGCGAUAGGGGUAACAGGAAUUCCCAGUGUAGCGGUGAAAUGCGUAGAUAUUGGGAAGAACACCAGCGGCGAAAGCGUGUUACUGGGUCUGCACUGACACUGAGGGACGAAAGCUAGGGGAGCGAAAGGGAUUAGAUACCCCUGUAGUCCUAGCCGUAAACGAUGACAACUAGGCGUGGUUCGUAUCGACCCGAGCCGUGCCGUAGCCAACGCGUUAAGUUGUCCGCCUGGGGAGUACGCACGCAAGUGUGAAACUCAAAGGAAUUGACGGGGGCCCGCACAAGCGGUGGAGUAUGUGGUUUAAUUCGAUGCAACGCGAAGAACCUUACCAAGGCUUGACAUCCUCGGAACCCUGAUGAAAGUUAGGGGUGCCUUCGGGAGCCGAGAGACAGGUGGUGCAUGGCUGUCGUCAGCUCGUGUCGUGAGAUGUUGGGUUAAGUCCCGCAACGAGCGCAACCCACGUUUUUAGUUGCCAGCAUUCAGUUGGGCACUCUAGAGAGACUGCCGGUGACAAACCGGAGGAAGGUGUGGAUGACGUCAAGUCAGCAUGCCCCAUACGCCUUGGGCUACACACGUACUACAAUGCGUCGGACAAAGAGCAGCCAGCCAGCGAUGGUGAGCCAAUCUCAUAAACCGGCGCUCAGUUCAGAUUGCAGGCUGCAACUCGCCUGCAUGAAGGCGGAAUCGCUAGUAAUCGCAGGUCAGCAUACUGCGGUGAAUACGUUCCCGGGCCUUGUACACACCGCCCGUCACACCAUGGGAGUUGGUCACGCCCGAAGUCGUUACUCUAACUGCUUGCAGAGGAGGACGCCGAAGGUGGGGCUGAUGACUGGGGUGAAGUCGUAACAAGGUAGCCGUACCGGAAGGUGUGGCUGGAUCACCUCCUUA
This 1461-nucleotide ribosomal RNA is filed under the name Nodosilinea foveolarum VP1-08. RNAcentral describes it as "bacterial SSU rRNA". It matches the Rfam family "Bacterial small subunit ribosomal RNA". The record is from RNAcentral. Lineage: Bacteria; Bacillati; Cyanobacteriota; Cyanophyceae; Nodosilineales; Nodosilineaceae.